Molecule: ribosomal RNA, 700 nt
Filed under: uncultured Microcystis sp.
Lineage: Bacteria; Bacillati; Cyanobacteriota; Cyanophyceae; Chroococcales; Microcystaceae
Description: bacterial SSU rRNA
Rfam family: Bacterial small subunit ribosomal RNA
Source: RNAcentral
GAUGAACGCUGGCGGCGUGCCUAACACAUGCAAGUCGAACGGGAAUCUUCGGAUUCUAGUGGCGGACGGGUGAGUAACGCGUAAGAAUCUAACUUCAGGACGGGGACAACAGUUGGAAACGACUGCUAAUACCCGAUGUGCCGCAAGGUGAAACCUAAUUGGCCUGGAGAAGAGCUUGCGUCUGAUUAGCUAGUUGGUGGGGUAAGGGCCUACCAAGGCGACGAUCAGUAGCUGGUCUGAGAGGAUGAGCAGCCACACUGGGACUGAGACACGGCCCAGACUCCUACGGGAGGCAGCAGUGGGGAAUUUUCCGCAAUGGGCGAAAGCCUGACGGAGCAACGCCGCGUGAGGGAGGAAGGUCUUUGGAUUGUAAACCUCUUUUCUCAAGGAAGAAGUUCUGACGGUACUUGAGGAAUCAGCCUCGGCUAACUCCGUGCCAGCAGCCGCGGUAAUACGGGGGAGGCAAGCGUUAUCCGGAAUUAUUGGGCGUAAAGCGUCCGCAGGUGGUCAGCCAAGUCUGCUGUCAAAUCAGGUUGCUUAACGACCUAAAGGCGGUGGAAACUGGCAGACUAGAGAGCAGUAGGGGUAGCAGGAAUUCCCAGUGUAGCGGUGAAAUGCGUAGAGAUUGGGAAGAACAUCGGUGGCGAAAGCGUGCUACUGGGCUGUAUCUGACACUCAGGGACGAAAGCUAGGGGAGCGA